UCGUUUGUCGCGAUGUGGGGUGGCCGUAAGCUGGGCUCCUCCGGGGGUUGGUUUUUAAGAGUGCUGGGGCCUGGAGGCCGGAAUACAAAAGCUGCGCGUCCCCUAAUUUCCUCGGCGGUUUAUGUGAAGAACCAGCUCAGUUGGACUCUACAGAUUAAAUCAGGGGUUUUCAAUGAAUACAGAACCAUAUGGUUCAAAUCCUACAGGACGAUCUUUUCCUGUUUGAACAGAAUAAAGAGUUUCAGGUGGAGUUUCACUUCUGUUGCCCAGGCUGGAGUACAAUGGUGCAAUCUUGGCUCACUGCAACCUCCUCCUCCCGGGUUCAAGCGAUUCUCCUGCCUGAGCCUCCUGAGUCAUUGGGAUUACAGGUACCCUUGGGCGAGACUGUACAGUACUUCCCAAACCACUGUCGACAGCAGUGAGGUAAAAACCUUCUUGUCCCUGGCUCACAAAUGGUGGGAUGAGCAAGGAGUAUAUGCACCUCUUCAUUCCAUGAAUGACCUGAGGGUGCCAUUUAUUAGGGACAAUCUUCUGAAAACAAUUCCUGAUCACCAGCCAGGAAAACCUUUGUUGGGGAUGAAGAUUCUUGACGUUGGCUGUGGUGGUGGGCUGUUAACUGAACCUCUAGGGCGGCUUGGGGCUUCAGUUAUUGGAAUCGAUCCUGUGGAUGAGAACAUUAAAACAGC
This 686-nucleotide small RNA is filed under the name Pongo abelii (Sumatran orangutan). RNAcentral's name for it is "processed transcript". Lineage: Eukaryota; Metazoa; Chordata; Mammalia; Primates; Hominidae. The record is from RNAcentral.